UACAGAGGGUGCGAGCGUUAAUCGGAAUUACUGGGCGUAAAGCGUGCGCAGGCGGUUCGUUGUGUCUGUGGUGAAAGCCCCGGGCUUAACCUGGGAAUGGCCAUGGAAACUGGCGAGCUGGAGUGUGGCAGAGGGGGGUGGAAUUCCACGUGUAGCAGUGAAAUGCGUAGAGAUGUGGAGGAACACCGAUGGCGAAGGCAGCCCCCUGGGCUAACACUGACGCUCAGGCACGAAAGCGUGGGGAGCAAACAGG
RNAcentral lists this ribosomal RNA (253 nucleotides) under uncultured bacterium. RNAcentral's name for it is "partial 16S ribosomal RNA". It matches the Rfam family "Bacterial small subunit ribosomal RNA", at positions 524 to 776 of the family's 1533-position model. The record is from RNAcentral.